This 384-nucleotide ribosomal RNA is filed under the name uncultured bacterium. Its description in RNAcentral is "bacterial SSU rRNA". It matches the Rfam family "Bacterial small subunit ribosomal RNA", at positions 28 to 414 of the family's 1533-position model. The record is from RNAcentral.
GUUGAACGCUGGCGGCAUGCCUUACACAUGCAAGUCGAACGGUAACGCGGGGCAACCUGGCGACGAGUGGCGAACGGGUGAGUAGUGCAUCGGAACGUGCCCAAUAGUGGGGGAUAGCCCGGCGAAAGCCGGAUUAAUACCGCAUACGACCUAUGGGUGAAAGCGGGGGAUCGCAAGACCUCGCGCUAUUGGAGCGGCCGAUGUCAGAUUAGGUAGUUGGCGGGGUAAAGGCCCACCAAGCCUGCGAUCUGUAGCUGGUCUGAGAGGACGACCAGCCACACUGGGACUGAGACACGGCCCAGACUCCUACGGGAGGCAGCAGUGGGGAAUUUUGGACAAUGGGGGGUAACCCUCGAUCCAGCCAUGCCGCGUGCGGGAAGAAGG